GCAAGUCGAGCGCUACCUUCGGGUGGAGCGGCGGACGGGUUAGUAACGCGUGGGAACAUACCCUUUGGUACGGAAUAGCCUCUGGAAACGGAGAGUAAUACCGUAUGUGCCCUUCGGGGGAAAGAUUUAUCGGUGAAGGAUCGGCCCGCGUUAGAUUAGAUAGUUGGUGGGGUAAUGGCCUACCAAGUCUACGAUCUAUAGCUGGUUUUAGAGGAUGAUC
Molecule: ribosomal RNA, 220 nt
Filed under: uncultured bacterium
Lineage: Bacteria
Description: partial 16S ribosomal RNA
Rfam family: Bacterial small subunit ribosomal RNA
Source: RNAcentral